This 496-nucleotide ribosomal RNA is filed under the name uncultured bacterium. RNAcentral describes it as "partial 16S ribosomal RNA". It matches the Rfam family "Bacterial small subunit ribosomal RNA", at positions 29 to 507 of the family's 1533-position model. The record is from RNAcentral.
AUGAACGCUGGCGGCGUGCCUAAUACAUGCAAGUCGAGCGAACAGACGAGGAGCUUGCUCCUCUGACGUUAGCGGCGGACGGGUGAGUAACACGUGGAUAACCUACCUAUAAGAUUGGGAUAACUUCGGGAAACCGGAGCUAAUACCGGAUAAUAUAUUGAACCGCAUGGUUCAAUAGUGAAAGACGGUUUUGCUGUCACUUAUAGAUGGAUCCGCGCCGCAUUAGCUAGUUGGUAAGGUAACGGCUUACCAAGGCAACGAUGCGUAGCCGACCUGAGAGGGUGAUCGGCCACACUGGAACUGAGACACGGUCCAGACUCCUACGGGAGGCAGCAGUAGGGAAUCUUCCGCAAUGGGCGAAAGCCUGACGGAGCAACGCCGCGUGAGUGAUGAAGGUCUUCGGAUCGUAAAACUCUGUUAUUAGGGAAGAACAAAUGUGUAAGUAACUAUGCACGUCUUGACGGUACCUAAUCAGAAAGCCACGGCUAACUACGUG